RNAcentral lists this ribosomal RNA (400 nucleotides) under bacterium Ellin5087. RNAcentral describes it as "bacterial SSU rRNA". It matches the Rfam family "Bacterial small subunit ribosomal RNA", at positions 58 to 459 of the family's 1533-position model. Lineage: Bacteria; Bacillati; Actinomycetota; Actinomycetes; Mycobacteriales; Mycobacteriaceae. The record is from RNAcentral.
CAAGUCGAACGGAAAGGCCCUUUCGGGGGUACUCGAGUGGCGAACGGGUGAGUAACACGUGGGUGAUCUGCCCUGCACUUUGGGAUAAGCCUGGGAAACUGGGUCUAAUACCGAAUACACCUUGCUGGCUGCAUGGCUGGUGGGGGAAAGCUUUUGCGGUGUGGGAUGGGCCCGCGGCCUAUCAGCUUGUUGGUGGGGUGAUGGCCUACCAAGGCGACGACGGGUAGCCGGCCUGAGAGGGUGUCCGGCCACACUGGGACUGAGAUACGGCCCAGACUCCUACGGGAGGCAGCAGUGGGGAAUAUUGCACAAUGGGCGCAAGCCUGAUGCAGCGACGCCGCGUGAGGGAUGACGGCCUUCGGGUUGUAAACCUCUUUCAGUAUCGACGAAGCGCAAGUGC